GCAGUGUGGCGUAGCGGUAAGGAGCAGGGCUCGCAACCCAAAGGUUGCCAGUUCGAUUCCCGCGGGGGCACUGCA
This is a non-coding RNA of Megalops atlanticus (tarpon), 75 nucleotides long. Lineage: Eukaryota; Metazoa; Chordata; Actinopteri; Elopiformes; Megalopidae. The record is from the annotation of a GenBank genome assembly.